AUUGAAUUGGAAGUGCAAAGUUUACGAAUUGCUAUAGAUAAUAGAUUGGGAGAUCAAGAUUCAUUACGGCAUCGUUUGGAAGAAUUAGAAAAAUUGGAUGAAACUAGAGCCAAUGCAUUAAUGAUAAUGAAAACUACACAAAAAUGAAGGAAGACUUAUUAUGAUAGUAAGCUUAGACCAAAGGCUUUUAUGCCAAAUAAUUUAAUACUUCUUUAUAAUAGUCGAUUUAAAAAUUUUCCAGAAAAAUUUCAAGUUUGAUGGCAUGGGCCAUAUCGAGUUAUUGAUAAAUUUCCAAAUGAUUCAAUACAAUUGGAAGAUUUUAUGGAUACUAAAUUUAUGACAUGGAUCAAUGGCAAUCGGCUUAAAAUUUACUAUAUAUAAAUCUGGGGCAGGUUUUCUAUUACAAAAGGGAGGGGAGAUAAAUAAUGAUGAGGAUAGGAUAUUUCAUCAUGAUGAAUUAUGGAAAAUAAGGGGGAGUCGAUCCAAAUGAUUGAACUAUAGUAAGAAGUAGGAGGGGGGCUCUUGAUAAGCAUCAUAUUUUUUUUUUAUGAUUAAA
Molecule: long non-coding RNA, 556 nt
Filed under: Physcomitrium patens
Lineage: Eukaryota; Viridiplantae; Streptophyta; Bryopsida; Funariales; Funariaceae
Description: long non-coding RNA (PPAT_LNC009794)
Source: RNAcentral